AUAAACGUUGGCGGCGUGCCUAAUACAUGCAAGUCGAACGAAGAGCUUAAGGUAGCAAUACUUUGAUAACUCUUAGUGGCGAACGGGUGAGUAACGCGUUGGUGACCUGCCCCAAAGAGAGGGAUAACAGCCCGAAAGGGCUGCUAAUACCUCAUGUGAUCAUUUGAUUUAGAACCUUAUGAUUAAAGGAGCUUGCUCCACUUUGGGAGGGGCCUGCGUCCCAUCAGCUAGUUGGUAGGGUAAUGGCCUACCAAGGCUAUGACGGGUAGGGGACCUGAGAGGGUGGCCCCCCACAAUGGAACUGAAACACGGUCCAUACACCUACGGGUGGCAGCAGUAGGGAAUAUUGGUAAUCUGCGAAAGCGGGAACCAGCAACGCCGCGUGCGCGAUGAAGGCCUUCGGGUUGUAAAGCGCUUUUCGAGAGGAAGAGGAAGGACUGUACUCUCGGAAUAAGUCUCGGCUAACUACGU
Molecule: ribosomal RNA, 471 nt
Filed under: uncultured bacterium
Lineage: Bacteria
Description: bacterial SSU rRNA
Rfam family: Bacterial small subunit ribosomal RNA
Source: RNAcentral